GUGUAUGAUCAAGACUAGGGACUCAUGGGAAGAUAUCACAACACAACUCUAAACACAAAAGAAAGACAUACAAUCUUCAUAUUACAAGCCAGGGGCCUCAAGGGCUCUAAGAGAAAAGCUCGAUACACAAGCGAGUCAGCGGAAGCAACAAUAUCUGAGUACAGACAUAAGUUAGACAAGUUUUGCCUUAAGAAGGCUAGCACAAACAUCAACGACUGAAGAGGAAAGGCCUCCUACAUGUGACCUCCCAACUACUCCUGGUCGUCGGCGGGCUCCAUGUAGUAGUAGGCACCCUCGGCGUAGUAGCAGUAAUCGGCAGGGGUGGCAUCAUCUGGCUCCUAGGAUCCACCAUCGGGUUACAAUGACCUGAAAGAAGGAAGAAGGGGGAAAAUGGGAGCAAAGCAACCGUGAGUACUCAUCCAAAGUACUCGCAAGCAUCAAAUCUUUACUAAGUAUGCAUUGGUAUCAAAAUGGAAGGUUUGUAUAUGUGGACUAAACUGCAGAAUGCCAAAAUAGAGGGAAAGGCCUAGCCUAUCGAAGACUAGCAUCUUCAAGCAGCUCCAAGCAUCUUGCAGCAUGUAGAAGAGUAAAGAAUAGUAGUUUAUAAUAUCAAACAUGUUCUAACAUUAACGCCCAGAGAUCCUUCCUCAACUCCCUGCGAGAAAGCAAUCCCGAGGCCACAUAUCCAUCACAUAUCAAGUAUCCAUUUCUAGUUGUAUAAGAUCAGGAUACAAGUCUGAACGUCCAUUACCAUGGACACGGUAUUCGAAUAUAUGUCUUCCCUGCAGGGGUGCACCACGUUAACCAACACGCUCGAUCACUCUGGCCGGACACACCAUUCUGGGGUCAAUGUCCGGCCUCAAAAGAUUAACACGUCGCAGCCCUACCUAGGCUCAGCAGAGAGGUCCCCGCCGCUUUACAUCCUAAGCACUCUGGGGUCUUGGGCCCAUCGCCCACAGCACUCUGGGUCGUUUUGUGCUGGGUAGAUACCAGCACCGCCUCGGAUGGCCAGCACGAUCCGACCGUGCCACAAUGCUGAACUGGACGUUUGACAAAGCUUCGGUUGAUACUGCGACGUCGAGGCCCAUAACUAUUCUCACGUGGUGGUUAGUGCGUAAAGGCCAGAGGCCAACUCAAAACAAAUACCCAAACCUGUUAGUGCAUUAUUAAAAGAAGUGACGGCUGUCGGGACAAGUCCGGAGCUAUCACCCCCUCCCGGGUGAUACCGCUAAAUAACCAGCCGCCACGGUCACAUCGCACGGGCUCUCCGGGCCCGCCCGGCUUUCACAAUGGUCUCAAGUGAAGUCAAUGUAACUGUGUGUCCAGACAUCAAUGGGAAAAACCGAGGAAUCACCCCCGGUGGAUUCCACUCGAUGUAAUCAUCAAGGUGAACGUAAGAGGAACCACCCUCGAGGUCCACACUUGAGGUGUUGCACGAUAGAGCCGUAUCAGGAAUGAUGAAGGAGGAACCACCCUUGAUGACCACGACCGAAUAGCUACACUACAGAGAUCUCUUCAGGAGUGAUGUAUGAGGUUCCACCCUCGGCACUCGAUGGUAACUCUCCAGAGUCCAGCAACAAAAAGGGGCGUGAUGUGAUGUGAGGUGUCGGGCUCCGGUCGUCGAUCAUGUUGAUCGAGGCGUCGAUGAUGAAGCAGGGGCAACAAGGACAAGUGGGGGUCACUGAUGGAUCACUAGCCAACCUAUACUAAGCAAUUUAGGAUAAGCAGGUAGGUAACAAAUAGCAGGUACAGAAGCAGGCUAUGCAUCAGAAUAGGAGCAAACAAUAACAUUAGCAAAAUCUAAUGCAAGCAUGAGAGAAUAGAAUGGGCGAGAUCGGGAUGAUCAAAGGGGAGCUUGCCUGGAAGCUGCGCUGAAAGGGAAGAAAUAUUGUCGAUGAUGUAGUCGAUCAUAGGGGUAUCGGCUGCGGUCUCAGGGUCUACCAAAGAGAAGAGGGGGAAGAAACAGUAAAUAUAAUGCAAUAGAUGCAACACAGAUGUAUGACGGGGUAACACGCAGGGCUAGGGUUUUCUAAUGCGGUGCUACACGAUACCGGUGAAGUGGGAUAACAUCCGGGAAAGUUUUCUAGGUUCUGGACAUCUGUCAAACAAAUGAACCAGAGGAGUAAGGUUCGAUGUUUUCCAGGAUAGGGACAUGUGGCGGGCAACCGGACCGCGAAUUCAGAUUUGUCUCGUCGUUCUAAGCAACUUUGAUGUAUAAACAAAUUUCAUUCAAGUUACUCUUGAUUAUCUACGAUUUUUCAAAGAUUUAAACAUUAUUUUGGAAUUUAAUUUAAUUCGAAAAUAAAUAACAAAUUGCUACGUGUACCUAGCUCUAUGUACACAGAGGAUGACAUGUGGGCCAGGGGGACCCAGUUGACCAGUCAAUGUUUGACUGGUUAAUAGGGGUGGGACCCCCCUCUCAUUGACUGUGUCUAGUUAACUAAUUCAGUUUCAACUAAUCCAAUGAUUAGGCUAAUUAAUCCCGAGUUAAUGAAGUUAAUUAACUAUUUAAAUAAUUAGUUAAGUAAUUUAUUUAUUAUUAUUAUUUUUCAUAAAUCCAUUUCUUUUCUUUUCUUUUACAAGAGGGGCUUGGGGCCCAUAGGCCAGUGGCCAAGGGCCAUAGCGGGCGUGCGGCUCAACAGGGCGGAGCCCCUGGGGAGGUGCCCGAACGACAGACCGAGGGGGGGAGCCAGGCACGGGCGCCGGCGGCCAGGGGCCACACAGGCACCGGCCAGAACUGGGCGGCAGGGCGAAGGGAAGAUGGUCGCGAGCGGGGUGAGGCGGCGAAGGUAGGCGGACCCAGGCGGCGCCGCAGGGCUGCGGCGGCGGGAGCCGCGGCUGGGCGCGCACAUGUACCUUGCAGUGUGUGGGCAGCACUGUACAUGGGGCUCGCAGGGUGGGCGGCUGCAAUGGCAAGGGGCAGCCCAAGACGGGCGCUGCUAGGCUGUGGAGCAGCGGGAGGGCGCCGACGGGAGCGGCAGGGCUGCACGGGCGAUGGCGGCGCAGGUGGAGCACAGCCGCGACGUUGGGCUAAGAAGAGAAGCAGGGAGGCCCGGGGUGCGAGUGAAGAUGGCGCAGCCAUGCGCGGCCAAGCGCGCGGGCGGGGCGGGGCAAUUGCGGCAGCACGCAACGGUCACGGGUCGCUGAAGCAGCAGCGCGAUGGAGGGGGGGUAGCAGUGGCCGGCGGCAGAAGCAACUAGCAGUGACGGUGGCAGUCGACGAAGGCGAAGCUAGGCGUGGCCCCGCGGGCGUGCGCACGGGCGAGGUACGUCCGAUACACGGCCCAUGGCACGAUGGGGCGCGGCAGGGAGGCAUGCGGUGAGCGCAUCCAUGCAGCUUUCUGCGGGCGCUUGGCUACGACGGCUACGACGUUCCAGGCGACGAACCGAAGGGGGAAAUAGGGGAAUCAAGGAAGAGCUCACAUCGUGGGUCGAUGCGGAGCUCGGGAGAGGUCGAGGAGAUGCCGGAGUAGUUGGACGCCGCGAGGCGGUGGUGGUGGUCGACGUGGUUGAUGGUGCGGGCGACGCCCGAUCCAGUGGCCAGGAACUCCUAAGCCUGCGCUGGUGGCGUGGACGGUGACUACAUGGCGCGGCGAGGCCUCCGGCCAGCCUCCCGUGGCCCUUAAAGAAGACGGAGUAGGCGAAUGACGAUGGCACAACGGUGGUAGUGCUCGGGCAGCUCGGGACCGAGAGGGAGAGGGCUAGAGGAAAGGGAAUCUGGUGGGGGCGAGGCGGAGGGACAAAGAGG
This 3747-nucleotide long non-coding RNA is filed under the name Triticum aestivum (bread wheat). Its description in RNAcentral is "long non-coding RNA (TAES_LNC016207)". The record is from RNAcentral. Lineage: Eukaryota; Viridiplantae; Streptophyta; Magnoliopsida; Poales; Poaceae.